Molecule: long non-coding RNA, 427 nt
Organism: Labeo rohita (rohu)
Lineage: Eukaryota; Metazoa; Chordata; Actinopteri; Cypriniformes; Cyprinidae
Exons: 3
Source: RefSeq, a predicted model, not a curated record
CAGGUGAUAAAUGACAUCUGAUCUGUGAUGCGACUGUCGUUUGGCACACUGCAUUGAGCAGCAGCAUUCAGUUUUAAAGGUGGCUGACAGAUGAAGCGGCCCAUACCGCCAUCUACCGCACAUCGUUUAAUGAAUAUUGAGUGACCUAAACCAUGUAGCACAGAAAUUACACUUUCACUUCACUUUAAAAUGAAAGACAUGAGGAAACAAUCCCUCAUUAAAAUUAAUGUCAUGAUCAUAUGAAUUUAAGACUUGCAGCUCUGAUUUAAGACUUUAAGACCCGGGGAAACCCUGAUGUAUAUUCCUAUUGAAGUGGAUUUCGCCAAUGAAAAUUCAUAACACAAUGUCCACUCACUUGACAGACAGGUGAAGGAUCUCAGUACGAGAACGUCGCAUGUUGCUGGCCAUCUUUAGAAGCUCCCUCUCC